This 253-nucleotide ribosomal RNA is filed under the name uncultured bacterium. RNAcentral's name for it is "partial 16S ribosomal RNA". It matches the Rfam family "Bacterial small subunit ribosomal RNA", at positions 524 to 776 of the family's 1533-position model. The record is from RNAcentral.
GACGUAGGGCGCGAGCGUUGUCCGGAUUUAUUGGGCGUAAAGAGCUCGUAGGCGGCUUGUUGCGUCGACCGUGAAAACCCGGGGCUCAACUUCGGGCUUGCGGUUGAUACGGGCGGGCUGGAGUUCGGUAGGGGAGACUGGAAUUCCUGGUGUAGCGGUGAAAUGCGCAGAUAUCGGGAAGAACACCCGUGGCGAAGGCGGUUCUCUGGGACGGUACUGACGCUGAGACGCGAAAGCGUGGGGAGCGAACAGG